This 29-nucleotide non-coding RNA is filed under the name Mus musculus (house mouse). The record is from RNAcentral. Lineage: Eukaryota; Metazoa; Chordata; Mammalia; Rodentia; Muridae.
UCUCGGUGGGGAUUCAGGAGCUGCUGAGC